Molecule: ribosomal RNA, 472 nt
Filed under: uncultured bacterium
Lineage: Bacteria
Description: bacterial SSU rRNA
Rfam family: Bacterial small subunit ribosomal RNA
Source: RNAcentral
UCGGGAAUUUUGGACAAUGGGCGAAAGCCUGAUCCAGCCAUGCCGCGUGUGUGAAGAAGGUCUUCGGAUUGUAAAGCACUUUAAGUUGGGAGGAAGGGCAGUUACCUAAUACGUGAUUGUUUUGACGUUACCGACAGAAUAAGCACCGGCUAACUCUGUGCCAGCAGCCGCGGUAAUACAGAGGGUGCAAGCGUUAAUCGGAAUUACUGGGCGUAAAGCGCGCGUAGGUGGUUAGUUAAGUUGGAUGUGAAAUCCCCGGGCUCAACCUGGGAACUGCAUUCAAAACUGACUGACUAGAGUAUGGUAGAGGGUGGUGGAAUUUCCUGUGUAGCGGUGAAAUGCGUAGAUAUAGGAAGGAACACCAGUGGCGAAGGCGACCACCUGGACUGAUACUGACACUGAGGUGCGAAAGCGUGGGGAGCAAACAGGAUUAGAUACCCCCGUAGUCCCUGAGCGGGCUGGCAAGGCGCAU